Long non-coding RNA from Equus caballus (horse), 1444 nucleotides. The record is from Ensembl. NCBI's taxonomy places the organism in Eukaryota, Metazoa, Chordata, Mammalia, Perissodactyla, Equidae.
CUGGGUGAGGAUGCCUCAUGGACUACUAGAAAUGCAAGCUCCAAGAGGAAACGUCUGUGUCUGUUUUGCUCACUUUUCACCAUAGCAUCUCUGAAGCCCAGCGUAUAACAGGUGUUCAAUAAACAGUGCUGAAGGAAUGAAGAGCAAACAAAAAUCUACCUAAGUGAAGCAUCAGCAUUAAAAACAAACAUAUUAACAUUGCACUUGGACUAUCUAUGUGGGGAAUGAGAAGAGAUCUUUGAAAAUCUGCUCUACAUCUUACAAACGAGAAAAUUGAAAUGGAAUGUUUCCCUGUUUUUAAACAGGGUUUUUCAUGGUGGCGUGGACCUUCGGCUCUUCUGUUGAGAUUAAUCUUAACCAGUGACCUGUCCAGACCCAAUAACCAAAACUGUCUGCCCUGGAAAUGAGAUUUUACUUACAAGAAGAUUGAUAUAUGACUGGUAAUGUUUACCACAAUUUUAAAAAAUGAAAAAUGAGGAUUUUUCAGAGCUCUAAUGAAACCAAGAGGAAAAUACAGACUUCUGGAAAGGUGUUUUGGACAUUGAAGACUGCAUCAAACUGCAUCUUCAAACUGUGAAGGACUUGAAAUGAAUCACUGGAGACCACCCAACAUCUUUCAGACGUUUAGAUUAAACUCAAAAGCAUAGAAGUGUUCUUAAUAGCUAAAAGGUUAAUACUUUUCAAAUCCCGGGUCAGACUACCCCAGGAGAAAGCCAGAGACACUCUGGUGACCUGGAAAUCCCACAGGCCCCCAGGUGACGUCCCAGGGCUGCUCCUCCACAUUCCACACAUUUUGCUGUCUGGCAAUACCAUGUCAGUUUGAAGCGGAAUGCAGGCUCACACUGUCCCACAGCUGAAAUUCUCCUCCUAAACUGGAAGGGAAAUAGCUCCAAAAACUCAAAUAGCUCAUACAUACGUGUUUAUAAAUACAUGGAUUAUCUCUGGGAGAAAACGUAAAAACUGGUCAUUAUGAUUGCCUCUAGGAAAGAAAGCUGGGUGUGUGGGGGACAUUCAAAGAGAGGAGACGUACUUUUCCUUACCAACUCCUUGUACUUUUUCAAUUUAGAAGGCUAUAAUGUAUUCUUAUGUAUUAAAAAAAUAUGUAUAUUGCAAGUGAAUUACUCUCUAGUGGCCUUUUAGCCUGUCUCACGAUGCAUUCAAAGCAUAAUUUCCAGAUUAAUCUUCCCAAAAGCAUACUUCCCAUCACAUUCUACCCUAGUCCAAUACCUUCUGUGCUUGCCCAUCACUAAGGAUAACCAAUUUACGAGGUUCACAAGAAUUGACUUGCUGAUAUAAUUUAUGUGUCACAGCACAUUUUGAAGUAGAUUAUGCCUCAAGUGACAAGUAGUGAAAUGACAUGAAUUUAAAAGAUUUGGUCAGGGUUACGUAGCUGGUUGGUGGCACUGCUGAAACUUGAGCCUGGAAUAUUGCUGCUUUCUGUGAU